Molecule: long non-coding RNA, 523 nt
Organism: Bubalus bubalis (water buffalo)
Lineage: Eukaryota; Metazoa; Chordata; Mammalia; Artiodactyla; Bovidae
Exons: 4
Source: RefSeq, a predicted model, not a curated record
UUUGGAAACUUGUCCUCUGGAAAGUGGAUGACCUCAUUUUUGCAGCCAAUGCAGCUAAGAGAACCAGAUACGUGAGCAUAAAAAGCAAAAGAGCAACAACAACAACAAAAUCCAUCAUUUGAAAUUUCUCGAGGAGUUGCUCUCCAGUGAUGUUUUGGGCACUGAAUUCAGAGACAUACUGCUCCAGAUUUAGGCUCAUUAGCCAGUGAGAAACCUGCUGCACGCUCCAUUCAUGAACGGCCCGAUUCGGAUACUGACUGUGUUUGGGAGACUGUCCGUCAUCAAGGAUCUGAGUUUAAGGGUCACGUGCACGAUCUGAGAAGGCAGCUCAGCCGCCCGUGCCAUGCACAUACCUCAUCGGAUGAGAGCACCAAGGACUGAGAGAGUCCGGGCGUUUUGGGCUCUGCUCCCAGGCCGCUCAGGUCUGCUGAACUGGUGCUGCUAGGACUGAAAUCGUCAUUGAAGUGGUCAUGUAUGGAUGGGAGAGUUGGACUGUGAAGAAAGCUGAGCGCUGAAGAAUUGA